AGGAACGCUGGCGGCGUGCCUAACACAUGCAAGUCGAGCGGAGGCAGCGGAAGAGCAAUCUGAGGCUGUCUGAGCGGCGGACGGGUGAGUAACGCGUGAGCAACCUGCCUUCCACAGGGGGAUAACGUACCGAAAGGUACACUAAUACCGCAUGAGACCACGGUACUGAUGGUACAGGGGUCAAAGGAGGAAUCCGGUGGGAGAUGGGCUCGCGUCCGAUUAGGUAGUUGGCGGGGUAAUGGCCCACCAAGCCUAUGAUCGGUAGCCGGCCUGAGAGGGUGAACGGCCACAUUGGAACUGAGAGACGGUCCAAACUCCUACGGGAGGCAGCAGUGGGGAAUAUUGGGCAAUGGGGGGAACCCUGACCCAGCAACGCCGCGUGAGGGAAGAAGGUUUUCGGAUUGUAAACCUCUGUUCUUGGAGAAGAGUGUAAGACGGUAUCCAAGGAGGAAGCCCCGGCUAACUACGUG
This 470-nucleotide ribosomal RNA is filed under the name uncultured bacterium. RNAcentral describes it as "bacterial SSU rRNA". It matches the Rfam family "Bacterial small subunit ribosomal RNA", at positions 31 to 507 of the family's 1533-position model. The record is from RNAcentral.